AUCUGAAAGGACGGUUUUAUAUGUGUAAUGAGUAU
Molecule: small RNA, 35 nt
Filed under: Arabidopsis thaliana (thale cress)
Lineage: Eukaryota; Viridiplantae; Streptophyta; Magnoliopsida; Brassicales; Brassicaceae
Description: ATSL114390
Source: RNAcentral